UCUCCGUAGGUGAACCUGCGGAGGGAUCAUUACAGAGUUCGUGCCCUCACAGGUAGAUCUCCCACCCUGUGUUAUUAUACCUUUGUUGCUUUGGCGGGCCGCCCUCGGCUACCGGCCCUGGCUGGUACGCGCCCGCCAGAGGACCCCAAACUCUGAAUGUUAGUGUCGUCUGAGUACUAUACAAUAGUUAAAACUUUCAACAACGGAUCUCUUGGUUCUG
RNAcentral lists this unclassified non-coding RNA (220 nucleotides) under plant metagenome. Its description in RNAcentral is "partial contains small subunit ribosomal RNA, internal transcribed spacer 1, and 5.8S ribosomal RNA". The record is from RNAcentral.